AAUAGAUACCCUGGUAGUCCAUGCCGUAAACGAUGUCUACUAGCCGUUGGGGCCCUUGAGGCUUUAGUGGCGCAGCUAACGCGAUAAGUAGACCGCCUGGGGAGUACGGUCGCAAGACUAAAACUCAAAUGAAUUGACAGGGGCCCGCACAAGCGGUGGAGCAUGUGGUUUAAUUCGAUGCAACGCGAAGAACCUUACCUGGCCUUGACAUACAGAGAACUUUCCAGAGAUGGAUUGGUGCCUUCGGGAACUCUGAUACAGGUGCUGCAUGGCUGUCGUCAGCUCGUGUCGUGAGAUGUUGGGUUAAGUCCCGCAACGAGCGCAACCCUUUUCCUUAUUUGCCAGCACUUCGGGUGGGAACUUUAAGGAUACUGCCAGUGACAAACUGGAGGAAGGCGGGGACGACGUCAAGUCAUCAUGGCCCUUACGGCCAGGGCUACACACGUGCUACAAUGGUCGGUACAAAGGGUUGCUACUGCGCGAGCAGAUGCUAAUCUCAAAAAGCCGAUCGUAGUCCGGAUCGC
This 524-nucleotide ribosomal RNA is filed under the name uncultured bacterium. Its description in RNAcentral is "bacterial SSU rRNA". It matches the Rfam family "Bacterial small subunit ribosomal RNA", at positions 777 to 1301 of the family's 1533-position model. The record is from RNAcentral.